AACGAGCGCAACCCUCCGCUGUGUGUUACAAGUGUCACACGGGAACUGCCGGUCAUAACCGGAGGAAGGUGGGGAUGACGUCAAGUCAGCAUGGCCUUUAUAUCCUGGGCUACACACACGCUACAAUGGGAAGGGACAAUAGGUUGCGAAGCCGCGAGGCGGAGCCAAUCCAGCAAAACUUCCCUCAGUUCAGAUUGCAGGCUGCAACUCGCCUGCAUGAAGUUGGAGUUGCUAGUAAACGCAGGUCAGCCAUACUGCGUUGAAUACGUUCCCGGGGCUU
Molecule: ribosomal RNA, 280 nt
Filed under: uncultured Anaerolineaceae bacterium
Lineage: Bacteria; Bacillati; Chloroflexota; Anaerolineae; Anaerolineales; Anaerolineaceae
Description: partial 16S ribosomal RNA
Rfam family: Bacterial small subunit ribosomal RNA
Source: RNAcentral